This 252-nucleotide unclassified non-coding RNA is filed under the name Xylariales sp. RNAcentral describes it as "partial contains 5.8S ribosomal RNA, internal transcribed spacer 2, and large subunit ribosomal RNA". The record is from RNAcentral. Lineage: Eukaryota; Fungi; Ascomycota; Sordariomycetes; Xylariales.
CGCACAUUGCGCCCAUUAGUAUUCUAGUGGGCAUGCCUGUUCGAGCGUCAUUAAGUCCAUUAAGCCCUGUUGCUUAGCGUUGGGAGCCCGCUGGCGAAAGCCUGCAGCUCCUCAAAAUUAGUGGCGGAGUUAGCGUAUACUCUAGGCGUAGUAAUUUCAACUCGCCUCUGUGGUUGCGCUGGCGCCUGCCGUAAAACACCCAAUUUUUAAAUGGUUGACCUCGGAUCAGGUAGGAAUACCCGCUGAACUUAA